UCACAAGCAACUCACCCAUUUGAGAUUACUCAUCAAGUGCAAAAGCACUCGGUUUAGUUACUUCUCUCACAAAAGCUUCCAUGGUUUUCAUUUGGAGGUUUUGCAAAACCAUUAGCAUGAGCUCAUGGCUUACGUGAUUCCUCUCCUAAACUCCCUAUAAAUACUCAUGAAACCUGGCCAUAAAACUCACCCAACCAAGCACCAAGUCACAGAAAAAUAAGCACAAGAAAUUAGCUAUAAUUCCCGUAACUAUCCCCUGUUUUCGCGCAUCACCACCACCGUCACCACCGCGGCUCUGCCGCCGGCCAACCUGAUACAACCACCCUCAAAAUUUUCUGUUAUCCACCCCUGGAAUAUGCUCAUUCACUACUCACAAAUAUCAAGCUCGAAUUGUAGCAUUCCAUUGCCGAAACCGAACAUUAACUCACGCACAACCCCUUUUCUCUCUCUCCAUUGACGCGGACCACUACCGCCCAAACCACCGGCGAAAACCUUAUCCGACCACCUGACCACCUCCCUGUUGCCGCCUUGUGCUUCCUCUGCUUUCGUGGGACAUACGAGUCAUACCCAGUUGCUGCCUUCCUUCCUCCUUCCUUUUCUCUUGGUUCGUGUUCUGUUCAUGAAGACCAAGUUUGGUCUUUCAACUUCCUAAAUUUUUGGAACUAGUGGGCCUAUAUUCUAAGUCAAAAGGUCAAACCCAAUAACAAUCAAGAAAGCCAAGUUGGACGAAUAUUCAAUUUUGGAGCUCAGGAAGAACGGCCCAUCGAACGGGAAGUAUAAAAUUACGGUUGAGGUACGAAGAUGAUCAUGGGAUGCCUUAGAGUGAGGAUGCAACCACCAAAUUCAUGAUCGAUGUUUAGUAAAGAUAACUAUGUCUCACUAGUAAUAAUGGAUGCAUUAAUUAAACUCUAAGUUUAAUUUCAAGAAUUGAGUUAGACUUUUAUAUUAAUAUUUAAUCAAUGAUAGGAGUAUUUCGUUAUUAAAGUUUAUUUAGUGAUUUAAAAAGGUUAUAUCGCCUUGUAUUUUCCACGAGGGAGAUACCGCAUGUGACGCUCCGACUAAGCUAGGGUUUUCCGCUGCUAACUAAAGAUAAUUAACCUAAUUAAUGGUGUUUAGAAGUCGGGGCGUUACACAUAUCCUAAUAAUAUAUCUAAUUGGGAAUAUUAAAAUUAUAAAAUUAUUCUAUUAUCAAAAUUAAUAAUAAUUGUCACGGCUAAUAUUAGCAUUACCAAAAAAAAUUAAGUUAUAUAUCUCCUUAUAGGGGUGUAAACGAGCUGAGCAGGGUCGUGCUUUACCCUGUUCAUGUUCAUGUUCUUUUAACUUAUGCGAGCACGUGCCCGAACCCGAGAUUUUAACCGAGCUCAAAAAUCUGUUCAGCUCGGCUCGUGCUAAGCUCAGUUUGUUUUAAAGAUUUUGUGUUCGCGAAAUGUUCGUGAACGACUCCUUUAUUUAUCGAGCCGAGUUUAUAAACGAGCAUUUUUCAUCAACGAGCUUUCUUAAACGAACUUUAGAGUAUAACCACUUGAAAAUCUAACAAAUUAGAAUCAUAUCUAAUAAUAAAGCAUAAAGUACAUUACUUUAUUUCAUAAACAAACUAAUAAUUUAAAAAGAGUCAAAGAGCAAUAAUUUAGCAAUAUAUUUCCACUUAUUUUUAUUCUAUUAUAGAUUUCGACAAUCAAAAACAUGAUUUUUAUUUAUAUUUGAAAAACGUAUACAUGGUAAAAUAUGAUACAUAACAUAAUUAGACGAACUUGUUCACGAACAUAAAUGAACGAGUUGUUCAUGAACAUAAAUGAACGAGUUGUUCAUGAACUUAAAUGAACAAGCAUACCUAUGUUCGUGUUCAAGCUCAUUUAUUAAGCGAGCUUCACAAGUUGUUCAAGCUCGGCUCGUUUAAUAAAUGAACGAACAUGAACGAGAUUUAAAACAGUCUUAAAUACUUUAUGGUCGGAUUUGUACUCGGAAUCGCAUUCGUUGUGUCUUUAGAAUCCAUUUCGGAUAUGGACUCUAUCCAUAUGUUUUAGGAUUAAUGUCUUUUUAUGGGAUUCGGAUUGGGACUUUGAUUUCCUCGGAAUCGAAUAGGAUUUAAAAUAGUUUAACUCACGGAUAACAAAACUAGAAUUAAAAUAGUUUUAACAAAUUAAUGAAAGGAUAGGAUAUGAUCUUCGACUAACACCUUAUUCUUACAAUAAAUCCCAAAUGUGUUCAUUGUUAUUUUGUUCCGUUUAUUUUUCCCAAUUUUCAGCUUAACAAGAUCAUUAUCAAGGGGGGCAACAUUUAAAAAUACUACUUGGAUUUGUUCCCUUUCCCUAGACACUAUUUUUAUUUAAAGUAGGACAUAAACCAUCCCUAUCAUGAGUUGUUUGGUUUCAGAUUUGCACAAUGUUGGCCUUUGUGCCAAUGACAUGUCAAAUCAACAUGCAGAAGAUACACUAUCUUCACAUCAUACUUCCUCCAUUCUUAUUUAAAUGACACAAUUGUACUUUUGACACUAUUCAUAUAAUAUACUUUGACCAUCAAUUAUGAUUUAUACUUAACAAAAAAUAUAGUCAUGUGGGAUCUUAUUAUAAUCGUCUCAUCCUAUAGUUUUAUAAUAUCAAAUUUUUAUAAUUUUUAGCCAUUGAUAAUAAAAGAUAUUAAUUGUUGAAAUAUUGCAUUGGCAAACGUAACAAAAAAAUUGUGUCAUUUAAUAAAGAAUGAAGGAAGUAUUUUUUAAUUAUGAGGCUAGCAUUGUUCCACCUUUUAGCUUACCUAUUAAUUUGUUGUUGUUUCUUUUAUGUUUCAUUUCAGACAUAAAAGGCAAUCAUUCUUGUUUAAAUUUUCCUAAUCCAUUAAUUUGGUCCUACGUUUUUUUGUACUCCCUCCGUCCCGGAAUACUCGACCCGGUUUGACCGGCACAGAGUUUAAGGGACUUGAAUUGACUUAUUUAAUUUAAUAGGUAGUAGUUAAUAGUGGGGUAUUAUUUAAUGUAGUUAGUGGGAAAUAUGUAAAGGGGUGGGGUUGGGGAGAGUAGGGGUUGAAUUUUUAAUUAUUUUUUGUAUGGAGUAGGGGGUAGGUGGGUUAAUAGGGGUGGAGUGAGAAAUAAUAUAAUAUUGUUAGAAUAUUUCCAUUUUUGGAAACAGGUCAAGUAUUAAGGGACGGCCCGAUAAGGAAAACAGGUCAAGUAUUCCGGGACGGAGGGAGUAACAUCAUAGGCAAGGAUUAUUGGUUAAAUUUAUUUUUUGUAAUUACAGACGAAACAAUCAAGCAUUCAUACUUUUGUUCUGCCAUAAUUUUAUUAUGGGUUUAUUUUUUACAAUUUCAAAUAAAAAAUUUACGCAUAUUUAUGG
Spinacia oleracea (spinach) is the source of this 3329-nucleotide long non-coding RNA. RefSeq lists it as uncharacterized. NCBI's taxonomy places the organism in Eukaryota, Viridiplantae, Streptophyta, Magnoliopsida, Caryophyllales, Amaranthaceae. The record is from RefSeq and is a predicted model, not a curated record. The transcript has 3 exons.